GUAAACCAGUUGCAGAUGUGACGGGUAGUACCAAAGGGUCGGGAUGACGUCAUCAAUGAGCCCCCUAUUUUACGGGCCGUCUCCCGUUCCUAGCAGUCCGCUGAAAGGAGAGGUAGCAGGUAGGUCGCUAACUGGUGGGUUAUUUGUUAUGGGGGAAAUUGUCAGCUUACAGAUCUCAACCUUGCAGGUUUUGCCGGCCGAGUGGAGUCCCUUCGGACGUCGUUGGGGAGGGUUUAGCUCCUCAGCCUUUCCAGGUGGCGCACAAACUGCUGUUUUGCCGUAUCCGGGUGUUGCACGGGUGAUUAGAUGUACUGGGAGACUCGCUGCCUCCACGCAGACGCUCGCCCUAUCCUCACCGUGGUUAGGGACCCGGGCAAGUACAGAUUGUUUUACGGCGUUUGUUUUUUACUGAUGUACGAAUACAUUAUACAGUUUCUUCCCGUCGGCAGUCGGGCUCAUCAACAGAGCCCGGUCCCCCACUGCCUGACUAUAACACUCCACCGGUCACUUCCCUUCACACUGCACAUGCCACUUUAACUGCGAUUCAUCACUUUGUCACUUGUCACUUUGUCUCUUGUUUGUUACUUGUUUGUUAGUGCACUUUAUGCUUAAUAUUUU
Gasterosteus aculeatus aculeatus (three-spined stickleback) is the source of this 618-nucleotide long non-coding RNA. NCBI's taxonomy places the organism in Eukaryota, Metazoa, Chordata, Actinopteri, Perciformes, Gasterosteidae. The record is from Ensembl.